CCAGGGGAGCUUGGUAUGCUGACUCUAACAAAUAACAUGGGGUGUGGAGAGGGGUGGAGGACCCGUUGCCAAAUUCUGUGAUCAUCCUGCAUCACUGCAUUUGAGUUUUGCAGAGGAUAACAUUUCACUCCGCUGCACAAACGCCAUGGAAGUUCUACAAAGCAGCAGUUGAUGGUGGCUUUGCAGUGGUCUGCGUACUCUAGAAUGUCACCAGCAGAAUGCCUCUGCCGCAUCUGGAGUCGGUAGCUGGGUGCGCCUGGGGCGUUGUUGCGUACUGGUGUAGACCAGAC
This is a long non-coding RNA of Numida meleagris (helmeted guineafowl), 290 nucleotides long. RefSeq lists it as uncharacterized. NCBI's taxonomy places the organism in Eukaryota, Metazoa, Chordata, Aves, Galliformes, Numididae. The record is from RefSeq and is a predicted model, not a curated record. The transcript is spliced from 3 exons.